AUGUAGCAGGCCCCCGUGGAGGAUUAACACAGUGGCUCAACACCGGGAAGGAACUGGCUCUUGGAGUCCGGACAUCUGAAACUUGAAUUAACAAGCCAACAUCAGUCUCCAGAGUGAAUCCAAGGAGAGGACCCAAGACAUUCAUGUUCUGUGAUGUGGUGACAUGUUACCUGUCAUCUCUGAUGCACAACUCCUAAAGUGUUUGCAUCUGGGGCAGUUGUACAGAUUGCAGAAGCUAAUACUCAAGAUGUUCUCCAAGGCCAACUACUCAUCAGUUUAUUCAUGUUUCUGGGAUUGGAUUCAUGAACUCAUCCUUUGAACUAUUUCAACAAGCUUUUUCAUGUAACUAAUCUGCGGAAGGUAGAAAGGGUAAAACUGUUGGGUGCUAAAAUGACAACUGGUUCAAGGGAAACAAACAAGGAGGAGCACGCCUGGGGAGGUUUUCAUGGGCCAGGACUGGAAAUGCACAUUUCUCUUUUCCUCACAUUCCAAGCUCCCAAGAUGGUGGCGGGCCACUUCCAAAAUGGUGGCAGGCCACUUCCAAGAUGGUGGCAAGCCUCGCGUUCUCUGGCCUGGGGUUCUUGGCCUCACGGAUUCCAAGGAAUGGAAUCUUGGGCCAUGCAGAGGAGCAUCAGAUAAUUAGGCAGCAGUCCAACAAUUAGGUUUUGUGGAACUUUUACUAUGUCAUCUAUUUAUUGGAAUUCCCCCUGGAUACCAGGACCCCCUCCAGCAGAGCUUAAAGUUAUAGUGACAGGAAGUACAAAUUCCGUAUGUGGAUCCCUGGAAGUGUGAUGAGAGGAACCACUGUUUCCAAGAUCUAUUUAUUCUAUUUAUUAGGCCUAUAAAAUCAUGUAAUGACCAUGGCUUCAACUAGACUCU
RNAcentral lists this long non-coding RNA (879 nucleotides) under Pongo abelii (Sumatran orangutan). RNAcentral describes it as "lincRNA". Lineage: Eukaryota; Metazoa; Chordata; Mammalia; Primates; Hominidae. The record is from RNAcentral.